AAUCUUCCACAAUGGGCGAAAGCCUUAUGGAGCAACGCCGCGUGUGUGAAGAAGGUUUUCGGAUCGUAAAACUCUGUUGUAGGGGAAGAACAAGUACAGUAGUAACUGACUGUACCUGGACGGUACCUUAUUAGAAAGCCUCGGCUUGCUACGUGCCCGCAGCCGCGGUAAUACGUAGGUGGCAAGCGUUGUCCGGAAUUAUUGGGCGUAAAGCGCGCGCAGGCGGUCCUUUAAGUCUGAUGUGAAAGCCCACGGCUCAACCGUGGAGGGUCAUUGGAAACUGGGGGACUUGAGUGCAGAAGAGGAAAGUGGAAUUCCAAGUGUAGCGGUGAAAUGCGUAGAGAUUUGGAGGAACACCAGUGGCGAAGGCGACUUUCUGGUCUGUAACUGACGCUGAGGCGCGAAAGCGUGGGGAGCAAACA
RNAcentral lists this ribosomal RNA (422 nucleotides) under uncultured bacterium. RNAcentral's name for it is "partial 16S ribosomal RNA". It matches the Rfam family "Bacterial small subunit ribosomal RNA", at positions 360 to 774 of the family's 1533-position model. The record is from RNAcentral.